GUCAAUGAAUAAAUUAAAUGAAAAUUAAUUUAUUAAUUAAUUAGCUACAGUAGGAUUGUUUCCUACUGUAAAAGCUUAGUAAUAACUUCAGAAUGAGUAUAUUACACUAAUAUGCCUUGAUUGUAAUAUCUUCACUAUUCUGCUAAAAUCUGUCUGGUGUCAGAAAUCAAAAUAUGUAAUUAUCCUUAGAAAAUAUUUAUUGUCCUUUUACCUAUAGCUUCCAAUGUCAACUAUACUCUGAUUCUUCAGCAUUUCUUCCUAACAUUUCAUCUUCUGUAAACAGCAUUCAUGGCAAAUGCAUAUGUGUGCACAUGAAGUGAAUGAACAGGAAAAAGUCUAACUCUCCAUUUCAACAGAUGAUAUAUUGCUGGAUGCCCAAGUCAGUUAUAUCAGCCAGUCACACACAUAGAGAUUUUAUUAGAGUACCAGGAAAUGCAGAUAUCAAUAUUCCAAUGUGCUAUCAUGUGAAAGUUUGCAUAACUGUGCCAAGGAGUAAAAAUGGAAUUGCUCUGUAUAAUGAAAGUGACAAUGAUGGAUGGGUAAUGUAUAUAUUGGUGUGGGUUAUUAAGCAAAGUCUACUUGGAAAACCUGAAAAGAAUUCUGAAUUAUCAAUCUGUAUUUUUUUAUAUAUCCAGUGUAUACUAUUGAAAUGGCAUAUGUAGCAGUGAAUGGCCUUACCUGGCACCUGACAUCAAUGGGAGGGAAGGCUCUUGGUCCUGUGAAGGUUGAUGCCGCAGCCUAGGGGAAUGCUGGGGUGGUGAGGAGAAGUAUGUGGUUGGAUGGAAGAGCACCCUCAUAGAAACAGGGGAGGGUUCGGGUACAGGGUUUGUGGAGGAGAAACAAGGGGAAUAACAUUUGAAA
RNAcentral lists this long non-coding RNA (861 nucleotides) under Rattus norvegicus (Norway rat). RNAcentral describes it as "long non-coding RNA NONRATT032101". The record is from RNAcentral. Lineage: Eukaryota; Metazoa; Chordata; Mammalia; Rodentia; Muridae.